This 781-nucleotide ribosomal RNA is filed under the name uncultured bacterium. Its description in RNAcentral is "bacterial SSU rRNA". It matches the Rfam family "Bacterial small subunit ribosomal RNA", at positions 97 to 929 of the family's 1533-position model. The record is from RNAcentral.
GGCGGACGGGUGAGUAACGCAUAGGAAUCUACCCAGUCGUGGGGGAUAACCUGAGGAAACUCAGGCUAAUACCGCAUACGUCCUACGGGAGAAAGCGCGCGAUUGGAUGAGCCUAUGUCGGAUUAGCUAGUUGGUAAGGUAAUGGCUUACCAAGGCAACGAUCCGUAGCUGGUCUGAGAGGAUGAUCAGCCACACCGGGACUGAGACACGGCCCGGACUCCUACGGGAGGCAGCAGUGGGGAAUAUUGGACAAUGGGCGAAAGUCUGAUCCAGCCAUGCCGCGUGUGUGAAGAAGGCUUUCGGGUUGUAAAGCACUUUCAGCGAGGAAGACGACAUCACUCGCAGAAGAAGCACCGGCUAACUCCGUGCCAGCAGCCGCGGUAAUACGGAGGGUGCAAGCGUUAAUCGGAAUUACUGGGCGUAAAGCGCGCGUAGGCGGCGUGUCACGCCGGGUGUGAAAGCCCCGGGCUCAACCUGGGAACGGCAUCCGGAACGGGCAGGCUAGAGUGCAGGAGAGGAAGGUAGAAUUCCCGGUGUAGCGGUGAAAUGCGUAGAGAUCGGGAGGAAUACCAGUGGCGAAGGCGGCCUUCUGGACUGACACUGACGCUGAGGUGCGAAAGCGUGGGUAGCAAACAGGAUUAGAUACCCUGGUAGUCCACGCCGUAAACGAUGUCGACUAGCCGUUGGGUACUUAGUGGCGCAGUUAACGCGAUAAGUCGACCGCCUGGGGAGUACGGCCGCAAGGUUAAAACUCAAAUGAAUUGACGGGGGCCCGCACAAG